GCUCCCAUGGCGUAGUGGUCACUGCGCUCGCCUUGCACGCGGGAGAUCCGGGUUUGAUUUCCGGCGGGGUCA
RNAcentral lists this transfer RNA (72 nucleotides) under Diaphorina citri (Asian citrus psyllid). It matches the Rfam family "tRNA". From Rfam's summary of the family: Transfer RNA (tRNA) molecules are approximately 80 nucleotides in length. Their secondary structure includes four short double-helical elements and three loops (D, anti-codon, and T loops). Lineage: Eukaryota; Metazoa; Arthropoda; Insecta; Hemiptera; Psyllidae. The record is from Rfam by way of RNAcentral.